UUCCUUCGGGAAGCGAGCGUACACAGGUGCUGCAUGGCUGUCGUCAGCUCGUGUCGUGAGAUGUAGGGUUAAGUCCCGCAACGAGCGCAACCCCUGCAUUCAGUUGCCAUCGGGUGAAGCCGGGCACUCUGGAAGGACUGCCAUCGACAAGAUGGAGGAAGUGGGGACGACGUCAAGUCAUCAUGGCCCUUAUGUCCAGGGCGACACACGUGCUACAAUGGCCGGCACAACGGGAAGCGAGUUCGCGAGGACGAGCGGAUCCCUUAAAGCCGGUCGCAGUUCGGAUUGAAGUCUGCAACUCGACUUCAUGAAGCUGGAAUCGCUAGUAAUCGCAGAUCAGCCAAGCUGCGGUGAAUACGUUCCCGGGCCUU
Molecule: ribosomal RNA, 371 nt
Filed under: uncultured Synergistaceae bacterium
Lineage: Bacteria; Thermotogati; Synergistota; Synergistia; Synergistales; Synergistaceae
Description: bacterial SSU rRNA
Rfam family: Bacterial small subunit ribosomal RNA
Source: RNAcentral